This 888-nucleotide long non-coding RNA is filed under the name Medicago truncatula (barrel medic). RNAcentral's name for it is "lncRNA gene26236". Lineage: Eukaryota; Viridiplantae; Streptophyta; Magnoliopsida; Fabales; Fabaceae. The record is from RNAcentral.
ACAAAAUAAACCGAAAGUGACGCAAUGGUUUAUGAUGGUAUCCACGGUGUAAUGUUUUUUACACUUUCUCCAGCUCAUAAUGUGCCCACUCCAGCGCACAUUAGCUCAUGCCGCGCACUCAAACGAACCCGCCAAUUUCACCCUCCGGUUCCGGUGCAACAGACUUAAUAUUAACAGCGGCGUAACGCGUAGAGAAAUUCCGAAAACCGUCGUCAUGGCUAUCCUCGUUCUGUCCCUCAUCAAAGUUCAACGCGUAACUCAAAGGAUCGUAUUGACACUUUGUCAUACGCUUCGAUCGAUGGUUGUUGAAUUUCCGAAUGAAAUUCUUCCAUCUUGGACCGGCAACGAUCUCUGACCAAUUGCGGAGUUUCUUUAAGGCUUUGAGGCCUCGAGACCACCAUCUAUCCGCGGUGGUUGGAGGAUGGGAUUGAGAAAAGGAGGCGGAGCGGACGCGUUCCCACCAAACGGAACGGCGGCGGGAGGCGAAGCAGGUGGGGAAACAUAAGGCGCUUGAUCUCUUUUGUUGGAGAUGAGCGGUGGGUGAUUCGAGCUCUAGCUCAACGGACAUGUCAGAAACUAAGAUUGAUGAUUUUGUUUGAAAAUGAUUAUGUGAUGAUGAAGUUUUAUAGUUUUGUAGUAUACAGAUGGAGAUGGAUGAAGAAGAGAGUGUGAGGAAGGUGUUUUUCCGUUAUAAAGAAAUAAAUAGGUAACACAUUCGGGUUCGGGUGGCCACACACGGAGUAUUUAAUAUCCUACUGUAAUUUAGUGUACACUAUACUGCAACCACUCACUCAAGUUUAUCAAUAUAUUUAUUAAAAAACAGUGUUAUUAUUUUUUAAAUAGAUAAAUCAAAAUAAACAAUUAAAAAUUCACGGUGCAUGAGUUGAG